GUAGCAGGAGACAAGAUGAGGGUAAUCACCGCAACACCUAGACUCAUUUAGAUCAAGUAAACUUACUGAGGCUCCAGAAGAAGGUCUUCAGGACUCCGACCUUAGUUAUAGAUUAAAAGAAGUUACUCACUUGUGUCUUUAGACGAAUGCACACUUACACAUAGACAUAUAGCUUAGAAGGUAUAUAAGCCCUGAAACACUUUCUAAUUUUGAGUUGGUCUGGCGAUAAUUUCCAGACCUUCUCCCUGUAACGGGUGACAGAAAUAAAAACUCUCUUUCUGCCCGGUUCAUCUGCAUCUCGUUACUAGGCCGCGAGAAAUAGCAGCCUGACUUUCGCUUGGUCCUGGAACAAAGUUUGGUACACCAGCCAGGAGGUAAGGAUGGUGCUGUUUUCAGCCGCUGGCAGCCUGUGAGGAGACAGUCUUCAGCAGGAUCUCCCAGCUGCCAGGUGAGGUUUCCCCACGGGACCCUCCAGAGGGCUGUUCCCUGGACAAAUCUGCAUGUCCCUUUCACUGCUGGGGAAGAAUGGAGAUCGGGAGCGGAUGCGCUCAAAGGGAAUCAAACUUGACUUAUGGAGCCAAGAAAGCCCUUGGAAAAACUGGCUUCUCAUUUUGUGGAUGCAGUCCAUGUACAGGGAUUCUGACCUGUGAAUCUUCUCUGUAAUAACCACAAAGUGAGAAUUCUUAAGCAUAUUUCAUAGAAGUGAAGGACAGAGUGUGAAAAAAUUUCAGAAUAAGUGCAAUAUAGGUGGUGAUAACUGUGGUGGUGAUAACUGUGAAGGUAGAGAGCAUUCCUAUCUCUUCCUGAGACUCCAAAAAGGCACUUGGAUUGUUUCCAUAUCUUUACUAUUGUGACCAAAGCUGCAAUGAACAUCGCAGUGCAGAUAUCUCUUCAAGAUGCUAGAGAGUGAUUCCAGCUUGCAAGGUGACUGUGGAACAGCUCUGAUGCAGCCUCAGGAAAUUACCCUUCUUGUGGGCUGCAACUACAUCCCCAACAAGAUCUGGCCCCGAUCCUGGUGAAGGAAAACCAAUCAUUAACAGCUUUCAUUUCAGAAAGCCAAGCAAUUUAUAUGGACUCACUCCCAUAAACACAAUUCUGAGUGUCAACCAAUUGAGAACAAUUUUGUUGGAGUAAUCACAUUUUGGCAGCGAAUGUCAACCUACUUAAACUUCUGAAAGGUCACCAAUCCCUGACUUUUAAGCUUCCAAAAAUUCUGGUAUAAAUCCAGCAGCUUGCUCUUUUUAGAGAGGCUAUACCUGACCAGCAUAUCUCUAUUCACUAUAGUAAGCAAUAAGCACAACAUGUUUUUUCUUUCAAAUAUUGAGUGGUGAUUUCUUCAUAAUUUGACAGUAUCAUUUAUCCCAUGGAAGAACAAGUAGUUAUAUAUCUUAUUCUGGAAUUCCUUUUGAGCAUUAGAGCAAUCUUCCCCAAAAACUGCGAACUUAAAAAAAAUAAUAAUAUUCUCUAUUCAACAGUAGGUGGAAAAUCAAACUCAGAAACAUUUUAGCAGAAUUUAUUUUGCUGGGUUUUUUUCCUCCUAAACUUAGCAUUGUUAUCUGGAUACAAUCAAGAUACUUUAUUUCACAGCCAACGUCAUGUAACAACUUUUUGUAACAUUACUCAGCUCGUAGCUUUUCUCUUUCGGAAAAAGUGUUUGGAAAGCAGAAUUAAAAACGAACUUGAGGGCCAGGCGCAGUGGCUCACGCCUGUAAUCCCAACAUUUUGGGAGUCUGAGGCGGGUGGAUCACGAGGUCAGGAGACCGAGACCAUCCUGGCUAAUACAGUGAGACCCCGUCUCUACUAAAAAUACAAAAAAUUAGCCAUGCAUGGUGGCACGUGCCAAGUCCCAGCUACCGGGGAGGCUGAGGCAGGAGAAUCGCUUGAACCUGGGAGGCAGAGGUUGCAGUGAGCCGAGAUUGUGCCACUGCACUCCAGCCUGAGCAACAGAGUGAGACUCCAUCUCAAAAAAUAAAAAAAUAAAAUAAAAAUUAAAAGUCAACAUUUAAAAGACUUGGAUUUUUCUUAGUUUUUUUUUUUUUUUUUUUUUUUUUGGCUUAAUAUAAGUCUUCCUCUCUCUCUCUCUUUUUCUUUCUUUUUUUUUGAGAGGCAGCCUUGGUCUGUCGCCCAGGCUGGAGUGCAGUGGCACCAUCUCGGCUCACUGCAACCUCUGCCUUCUGGGUUUCAGAGAUUCUAGGGCCUCAACCUCCCAAGUAGCUGGGAUUACAAGUGUGCGCCACCAUGCCCAACUAAUUUUUGUAUUUUUAGUAGAGAUGGGUUUCACCAUGUUGGCCAGCCUGGUCUCAAACUCCCAACUUCAAGAGAUCUGCCGGCCUUGGCCUCCGAAAGUGCUAGGAUUACAAGCGUAAGCCACCAGGCCCAGCCUACAUUUUCUUUUAUCUGUGUGUAAAUAUGUUGAUGGUAUAGUGUGCAUAAGGGAAAAUAAGCUUAUUAAAAACUCAAGCUUCAGGGAUAACUGGCUAGGCCUUACUUUUAAAGAAAUAGUUGCACCUUUAACAUUUUCUGCUAUGAUAGAAAAAUAUUAUCCAAUUAAAAUGUAAGCAACCUAAACAUCAUUGAUUACUCUAAAAGAAUUAUAGAAUAGUAAUAUCUUGCCAAUAUCGAUAUUUGUGGUGCUACUCUGUUCUCAUUGCAUUAGCUAUUAGACAAUGUCUUAUAGAGUUCAUGGCCAUUUUCUGCUUAUGAAUGAGAAUAAAUACUUGUGAAAACAUAACGUGUAAGACAUCAGGUAUACAUAUAUUAAAAUAUGUCAGUUGGCGAAAAGUAAUAAUUGUCUUACCAAGGAAAAUUGCCUUUAGAUUUGACUGUGUUCAGCUCUGGUACAAAACAUAACAAACAUUAUGUUUCUACCUUAAUUAAAAAGUAAAUGUGGUUAUUUUAAAAACUGUUUAAAAUUAAAGCCUAUUUUAUAAGAUGUUAUAUGAGACACUGCAUUAUUCCUUAUCAAAUUUAUAAGGCUGUAU
This 2981-nucleotide long non-coding RNA is filed under the name Homo sapiens (human). RNAcentral's name for it is "HSALNT0080248". Lineage: Eukaryota; Metazoa; Chordata; Mammalia; Primates; Hominidae. The record is from RNAcentral.